CCUACGGGUGGCAGCAGUGAGGAAUAUUGGUCAAUGGACGAGAGUCUGAACCAGCCAAGUAGCGUGAAGGAUGACUGCCCUAUGGGUUGUAAACUUCUUUUAUAUGGGAAUAAAAUGGUCCACGUGUGGGAUUUUGUAUGUACCUUAUGAAUAAGGAUCGGCUAACUCCGUGCCAGCAGACGCGGUAAUACGGAGGAUCCGAGCGUUAUCCGGAUUUAUUGGGUUUAAAGGGAGCGUAGGUGGGUUGUUAAGUCAGUUGUGAAAGUUUGCGGCUCAACCGUAAAAUUGCAGUUGAAACUGGCAGUAUGGAGUACAGUAGAGGUAGGCGGAAUUCGUGGUGUAGCGGUGAAAUGCUUAGAUAUCACGAAGAACUCCGAGUGCGAAGGCAGCUUACUGGACUGCAACUGACAUUGAGGCUAGAAAGUGUGGGUAUCAAACAGGAUUAGAUACCCGUGUAGUC
RNAcentral lists this ribosomal RNA (460 nucleotides) under uncultured bacterium. RNAcentral describes it as "partial 16S ribosomal RNA". It matches the Rfam family "Bacterial small subunit ribosomal RNA", at positions 338 to 795 of the family's 1533-position model. The record is from RNAcentral.